AUGAACUUUUAUCUGGGGCAAACGACAGCGAGGAAGAUGGUGAUGCUGAAAAUGGUGUAGAUGAAAAUGAUGAAGAUGAACCUGAUCCCAAGAGAAGAAAUACAGAAGUCAAGGUAACAGAUCCAGCUUCUUCACAUAGGACUGUCACAGAAUCUAGAAUCAUUGUGCAGACUACCAGUGAAGUUGAUCUUUUGGAUGAUGGCUAUAGAUGGCGCAAGUAUGGGCAGAAAGUUGUCAAAGGCAAUCCUUAUCCCAGCUACUAUAAAUGCACAACCCCAGGCUGCAAAGUCCGUAAACAUAUUGAGAGAGCUGCAACAGACCCAAGAGCAGUUAUAACAACUUAUGAAGGCAAACAUAAUCAUGAUGUUCCUGCUACUAAAGGGAGUAGCCACAGCACAGCCAAUAGUAAGUCAUCGGAGCUGAAACAAAAUAAUGUAGAGAAGCUUGCCUUAGAUAACAGGAGAGACCUUGGCAACAAUAAUCAACAACCUAUAGCACGACUUUGUUUAAAAGAAGAGCAGAUAACAUAAUUUCCCUCAUGAAAAAGCAGGAGAAUAUGGGCGCUGUAAGAUAUCUUUGCUGAAAUCUAUUUUUCAUGCUUUUCAAGGCCAUUGGUUUGAUCAAGGUCCAUGGCUCCAACUACCAUAUUCACAAGAAAAGAAGAUAAAGAGAAGUCAAUCGGGGGAUAACUUUCCUGGAUUGAGUUAGUUAGAAGACAUAUUGUCGUAUGUAAACAAGUUAGCAGGUAAUUUUUAUUGAAAUCCUGUUCUGCGCAACCUUACUUCCAGAUAAUGUACAAA
Molecule: unclassified non-coding RNA, 800 nt
Filed under: Hevea brasiliensis (rubber tree)
Lineage: Eukaryota; Viridiplantae; Streptophyta; Magnoliopsida; Malpighiales; Euphorbiaceae
Source: RNAcentral